This is an RNA transcript of Tarenaya hassleriana, 1993 nucleotides long. It is a transcript of the gene named heterogeneous nuclear ribonucleoprotein 1, with no coding region annotated. The transcript is spliced from 4 exons. Lineage: Eukaryota; Viridiplantae; Streptophyta; Magnoliopsida; Brassicales; Cleomaceae. The record is from RefSeq and is a predicted model, not a curated record.
GUAAACCUAGAAAUCCCCCUCCUCUCUUUCUCUAUCCUCUGUCAUUUCUUCUUGAAAACCUAGAACCCUUUUGUUGGUUCUCGUAGUUGUUUUCGGAACUUGAUUUGGGGUUUUUUUAUCUUGGAUUCUGGGUUUGUAAGAAAAGGGAGGAAGAGGGUAAAGUGUGAGUUAAAGCCAUGGAUGCGGAUCAAGGAAAGCUUUUUGUCGGUGGGAUUUCAUGGGAAACUAACGAAGACAAGCUAAAGGAACAUUUCAGUAACUAUGGCGAUGUCUUGCAGGCAAUCGUGAUGAGGGACAAGGUCACUGGUCGCCCUAGGGGUUUUGGGUUCGUUCUCUUCUCGGAUCCUUCUGUUCUCGAUCGGGUUCUUCAGGACAAGCAUCACAUUGAUACCAGAGAGGUUGAUGUGAAGAGGGCCAUGACAAGAGAAGAACAGCAAGUAUCAGGUAGAUCCGGUAAUUAUAAUCCUUCUAGAAAUUCCGGAGGUGGUGGCGGUGGAUAUGUUAGAACCAAGAAGAUCUUUGUCGGAGGUUUGCCGCCCACUUUGACAGAUGAAGCAUUUCGACAGUACUUUGAAGCUUAUGGUUCCGUGGCUGAUGUGAUAAUCAUGUAUGACCAGAAUACCAACCGUCCUCGUGGGUUUGGAUUUGUUUCCUUCGAAUCUGAAGAUUCGGUAGACCGUGUCUUGCACAAGACUUUCCAUGAUUUGAACGGCAAGCAAGUUGAAGUAAAGCGGGCUCUUCCUAAAGACGCCAUUCCUGGAGGGCCUGGGCGUUCAAUGGGUGGUAGUGGGAACAGUUAUGAGGGCCGUGUAGAUUCCAACAGGUUUAUGCAGCAUCAGAAUACCGGAAAUGGUUUACCAUCUUAUGGUUCUUCUGGUUAUGGUGGUGCCGGUUAUGGAUAUGGUAGUAAUGGAGUCGGGUAUAUCGCCUAUGGAGGCUAUGCUGCUGGUGCUGGUGGAGGUUAUGGUGGUCCUUUUGGUGCGCCAUAUGGAAACCCGAGCGGUGCUCCAGGUGCUGCUUUUGGAAGUGGUCAUGGAGGUGGUCCGAGAAGUUCAUGGGGCGGUCAACCUGCUGCUGCUGGUUAUGGUAACCCGGGCUAUGGAAAUACUGCUCCUAGUGGUUAUGGAGGUAAUGGAGCAGCACCUUCUGCACAAUCUCCAGGUGGGUCAGCUGGUUUUAGUAACCAAGGUUACGGAUAUGGUGGAAACGAUUCCUCUUAUGGAAAUCAACCCGGAUUUGGAGCCAUUGGAGGGCGUCCAAGUGGCGGAUCAAAUAUUGCCGGCGGGGAUCUACAAGGUAGUGGUGGUGGCUACAAUGGAGGCAGCUAUGGUGAUGGUUCAUGGAGAUCUGAUCCGCUGCAAGGUUAUGGCGGUGGGUACAAUGGUAGUCAGGGUCGACAUGGACAACAGUAGAGAAUCCUGAACGGACUGCAUCAUUUUAAGGGGUUCUAAUCCCUGUUUAUGGACCCCUCAUCAAGAAGAAUAGCUCAAUCCGAAGGUAUUAAAAAGCUUAAAGGCUUCUGAUUUAAGAGAUGUCUGUCCUGUUUUCGGGAUCUGUAGAUGAAAACGGGUAUCUCUUUCCAAUAGAUGCAGCUCUCAUCUAAUCUCCUCGUUGUGUGCAGUUUCGGUAGAUGUAGCGGUAGUUGAUCCUUUGAAGCUAGUUCUGUGAGGACGAGGAUGCUUAAGUUCUACGGCGAAGCCAAAGAUUCGUCCAGGCAGAAACCCAAGCUAUGCUCAUACAGAGAUUCUUCUGUUCAUGCUCUUGCAAUGGUAUUAGAGAGAGAGAGAAAGAGAGAGAGAGAGAGAGAGAGGGGGUUGGAAAAGAGGGUAGCUUUUGUUCAUCCUUCCCUUUGUAGCUGAAAUGGGACAAUGUUGAUGUAUCAUGAGAUGUCAGAUCAGGUCAUUAGUUUCUGAUGUCAGUGCCACUGAAACCAGAAACUUUGUUGUUGCAGGAGGGUUUUCAGUGUCUUAAUGGAACUUAAACUCUUCUGUCA